AUGGCGGAGAGGGGAGGAAGCGGCGAGGGGUCGUCGUCGUCGCCGGGGAAGAAGGCGAGGAAGCCCUACACCAUCACCCGGCCCAGGGAGCGGUGGUGCCCCGAGGAGCACGAGCGCUUCCUCGACGCCCUCCUCAGGUUCGGCCGCGACUGGAAGAAGAUCGAGGAGCACGUCCGCACCAAGACCGCGGUGCAGAUACGCAGCCACGCCCAGAAGUACUUCCUCAAGGUCCAGAGGCUGGGCCUGGCCGCCGGGCUGCCGCCGCCGCAGCACCCGAGCCGCAGGCUCGCCCUGUCGCGGCAGCAGACCUCGCCGGCCGACGGGACGGCAGUGCUGCACGGACAGCCGCAGCAUUAUCCGACCGGCGCUGUUCAGGAUUCCAUCGGCUGGAGCUUUCCGGGACCAGGAAACCUUCCAGCAUCCAGUGACAUGCAGAACUUGGACUGGGCGGGCAGUUCAGGCACUUCAGCCUGGGUGAGCCAUGGAGGUGCAGGGAGCCAGACCGAACCAUCUGCAUCAACACAUCCAGGUGGCAGCUCAUUCAUGGGGACGCCGAGCUUCGAUGACACGGGCAUGGACUGGACUGGCACGGGCAGCACAGGCGAAGCGUCGGCCAUCGCCGAUGCAGAGGACGAGACGAUUCCGCUCCCAUUGUCGCCAGACGACAUGCAUUUCGCGCGGGUAUACCGGUUCAUCGGCGACAUAUUCGACCCGGCCACGCCGUGCCGCAUCGAGGCCCACCUGCAGAAACUCAAGGACAUGGAUGGCAUCACAGUCAAGACGAUCCUGCUGGUGCUAAGGAACCUCGAGACGAACCUGACAGCGCCUCAGUUUGAGCCCAUCGUGAGUGAUCUACUCUGA
This 861-nucleotide ribosomal RNA is filed under the name Triticum aestivum (bread wheat). RNAcentral's name for it is "partial small subunit ribosomal RNA". The record is from RNAcentral. Lineage: Eukaryota; Viridiplantae; Streptophyta; Magnoliopsida; Poales; Poaceae.